This 72-nucleotide transfer RNA is filed under the name Salmo salar (Atlantic salmon). It matches the Rfam family "tRNA". From Rfam's summary of the family: Transfer RNA (tRNA) molecules are approximately 80 nucleotides in length. Their secondary structure includes four short double-helical elements and three loops (D, anti-codon, and T loops). Lineage: Eukaryota; Metazoa; Chordata; Actinopteri; Salmoniformes; Salmonidae. The record is from Rfam by way of RNAcentral.
UCCCAUGUAGCUCGGUUGGUAGAGAAUGGCACUUGCAAUGCCAGGACUGGGGGUUCGAGUCCCACGGGGGAC